Pomacea canaliculata is the source of this 200-nucleotide small nuclear RNA. RefSeq annotates it as U2 spliceosomal RNA. Lineage: Eukaryota; Metazoa; Mollusca; Gastropoda; Architaenioglossa; Ampullariidae. The transcript has a single exon. The record is from RefSeq and is a predicted model, not a curated record.
AAUAUUUCACCUCCACAAGUCGCUCAUACUGAUCUUCCAUUACUUGUUCUUAUCAGCGGAAUAUUUCGUACGUCCCCCCCAUUUGGGGACGUAGAUAUUACUCUGAUUUUGAGAAUAAGAUGGAGGGUUUGAGGGACUUGCUCUAUCUCUGCCAAGGGUCGUCCUGGUGAUGUCAUAACCUCAGGAUUGGCCCACUCCCC